CCAACGGCCCUCUUUAGGGCCACAAAUGAUAAAUCCAAACAGUC
This is a non-coding RNA of Caenorhabditis elegans, 44 nucleotides long. NCBI's taxonomy places the organism in Eukaryota, Metazoa, Nematoda, Chromadorea, Rhabditida, Rhabditidae. The record is from Rfam.